This 722-nucleotide ribosomal RNA is filed under the name uncultured Fusobacterium sp. RNAcentral's name for it is "bacterial SSU rRNA". It matches the Rfam family "Bacterial small subunit ribosomal RNA", at positions 28 to 776 of the family's 1533-position model. Lineage: Bacteria; Fusobacteriati; Fusobacteriota; Fusobacteriia; Fusobacteriales; Fusobacteriaceae. The record is from RNAcentral.
GAUGAACGCUGACAGAAUGCUUAACACAUGCAAGUCAACUUGAACUUCGGUUUGGGUGGCGGACGGGUGAGUAACACGUAAAGAACUUGCCUCACAGAUAGGGACAACAUUUGGAAACGAAUGCUAAUACCUGAUAUUAUGAUUAUAUGGCAUCGUAUGAUUAUGAAAGCUAUAUGCGCUGUGAGAGAGCUUUGCGUCCCAUUAGCUAGUUGGAGAGGUAACGGCUCACCAAGGCGAUGAUGGGUAGCCGGCCUGAGAGGGUGAUCGGCCACAAGGGGACUGAGACACGGCCCUUACUCCUACGGGAGGCAGCAGUGGGGAAUAUUGGACAAUGGACCAAGAGUCUGAUCCAGCAAUUCUGUGUGCACGAUGAAGUUUUUCGGAAUGUAAAGUGCUUUCAGUUGGGAAGAAAAAAAUGACGGUACCAACAGAAGAAGUGACGGCUAAAUACGUGCCAGCAGCCGCGGUAAUACGUAUGUCACAAGCGUUAUCCGGAUUUAUUGGGCGUAAAGCGCGUCUAGGUGGUUAUGUAAGUCUGAUGUGAAAAUGCAGGGCUCAACUCUGUAUUGCGUUGGAAACUGUGUAACUAGAGUACUGGAGAGGUAAGCGGAACUACAAGUGUAGAGGUGAAAUUCGUAGAUAUUUGUAGGAAUGCCGAUGGGGAAGCCAGCUUACUGGACAGAUACUGACGCUGAAGCGCGAAAGCGUGGGUAGCAAACAGG